Molecule: ribosomal RNA, 546 nt
Filed under: uncultured bacterium
Lineage: Bacteria
Description: partial 16S ribosomal RNA
Rfam family: Bacterial small subunit ribosomal RNA
Source: RNAcentral
UGGGGAAUAUUGCACAAUGGGCGCAAGCCUGAUGCAGCCAUGCCGCGUGUGUGAAGAAGGCCUUCGGGUUGUAAAGCACUUUCAGCGAGGAGGAAGGUGGUGAGCUUAAUACGCUCAUCAAUUGACGUUACUCGCAGAAGAAGCACCGGCUAACUCCGUGCCAGCAGCCGCGGUAAUACGGAGGGUGCAAGCGUUAAUCGGAAUUACUGGGCGUAAAGCGCACGCAGGCGGUUUGUUAAGUCAGAUGUGAAAUCCCCGGGCUCAACCUGGGAACUGCAUUUGAAACUGGCAAGCUAGAGUCUCGUAGAGGGGGGUAGAAUUCCAGGUGUAGCGGUGAAAUGCGUAGAGAUCUGGAGGAAUACCGGUGGCGAAGGCGGCCCCCUGGACGAAGACUGACGCUCAGGUGCGAAAGCGUGGGGCAGCAAACAGGAUUAGAUACCCUGGUAGUCCAGCGCUGUAAACGAUGUCGAUUUGGAGGUUGUGCCCUUGAGGCGUGGCUUCCGGAGCUAACGCGUUAAAUCGACCGCCUGGGGAGUACGGCCGCAA